This 480-nucleotide ribosomal RNA is filed under the name uncultured bacterium. Its description in RNAcentral is "SSU rRNA". It matches the Rfam family "Bacterial small subunit ribosomal RNA", at positions 26 to 523 of the family's 1533-position model. The record is from RNAcentral.
AGGACGAACGCUGGCGGCGCGCCUAAAACGAUGCAAGUCGAACGAGAAGCCCGGGCUUGCCUGGGUGGACAGUGGCGAACGGGUGAGUAACACGUGAGGAACCUGCCCCGAAGACCGGGACAACACCGGGAAACCGGUGCUAAUACCGGAUGCCUUCACCGGAUCGCAUGGUCUGGUGAAGAAAUGGAUUCCGCUUCGGGAUGGCCUCGCGGCCUAUCAGCUUGUUGGUGAGGUAAUGGCCCACCAAGGCAACGACGGGUAGCUGGUCUGAGAGGAUGUCCAGCCACACUGGGACUGAGACACGGCCCAGACUCCUACGGGAGGCAGCAGUUAGGAAUCUUGCGCAAUGGACGAAAGUCUGACGCAGCGACGCCGCGUGCGGGAUGAAUGCCUUCGGGUUGUAAACCGCUUUCAGCAGGGACGAAAUUGACGGUACCUGCAGAAGAAGCCCCGGCAACUACGUGCCAGCAGCCGCGGUAA